RNAcentral lists this microRNA precursor (192 nucleotides) under Oryza brachyantha (malo sina). Its description in RNAcentral is "MIR812 microRNA precursor family". It matches the Rfam family "MIR812 microRNA precursor family", at positions 19 to 190 of the family's 205-position model. The record is from Rfam by way of RNAcentral. Lineage: Eukaryota; Viridiplantae; Streptophyta; Magnoliopsida; Poales; Poaceae.
UGUCUGCUAAUUUUUCGUUUUUCCGUGUCCAACAUUUGACCAUUCGUCUUAUUUGAAAUUUUUUUACGAUUAAUAUUUUUAUUAUUACUAGAUAAUAAAAUAUGAAUAAUACUUUAUACGUGACUAAUUUUUUAAAGUUUUUAUACAAUUUUUUAAAUAAGACGAAUAGUCAAAUGUUGGACACGGAAAAAC